This 460-nucleotide ribosomal RNA is filed under the name uncultured bacterium. Its description in RNAcentral is "partial 16S ribosomal RNA". It matches the Rfam family "Bacterial small subunit ribosomal RNA", at positions 338 to 795 of the family's 1533-position model. The record is from RNAcentral.
CCUACGGGUGGCAGCAGUGAGGAAUAUUGGUCAAUGGGCGCGAGCCUGAACCAGCCAAGUAGCGUGAAGGAUGACUGCCCUACGGGUUGUAAACCUCUGUUAUAAAGGAAUAAAGUGAGUCACGUGUGCCGUUUUGUAUGUACUUUAUGAAUAAGGAUCGGCUAACUCCGUGCCAGCAGCCGCGGUAAUACGGAGGAUCCGAGCGUUAUCCGGAUUUAUUGGGUUUAAAGGGAGCGUAGAUGGGUUGUUAAGUCAGUUGUGAAAGUUUGCGGCUCAACCGUAAAAUUGCAAUUGAUACUGGCAGUCUUGAGUACAGUUGAGGUAGGCGGAAUUCGUGGUGUAGCGGUGAAAUGCGUAGAUAUCACGAAGAACUCCGAUUGCGAAGGCAGCUUACUAAACAGCAACUGACAUUGAUGCUCGAAAGUGUGGGUAUCAAACAGGAUUAGAUACCCUUGUAGUC